GGCUGUGCUGCCCUUUUGUCUGCUCUCAGAAAGCUAAGCAGGACUGGGCCUGGCUGGUACUUGAAUGACAGACCAUAUGGGAAUACCAGGUGCUGUGGCUA
Molecule: ribosomal RNA, 101 nt
Filed under: Monopterus albus (swamp eel)
Lineage: Eukaryota; Metazoa; Chordata; Actinopteri; Synbranchiformes; Synbranchidae
Source: RNAcentral